RNAcentral lists this transfer RNA (67 nucleotides) under Eiconaxius sp. 1 QK-2020. RNAcentral's name for it is "tRNA-Gln". The record is from RNAcentral. Lineage: Eukaryota; Metazoa; Arthropoda; Malacostraca; Decapoda; Axiidae.
UAUAUUCUGGUGUUAAGCACGAAAAGGUUUGAAUUUUUAGGAAAUAGGAAGUACCUAUUGAAUAUAU